UGAAUCUUGUUUCAAUUCAUGAUAGAGAGAGAAUAAUCCAGAAAGAUAAUGGGGGGAGAGGGGCCUAGAGAGAGAGAGUGCACAGUCGCCGGCAACAUUAUCCGGUGACCCUCUGUUACUCGGGACACGACGACGAGACUAUGGUUCCGAAGAACGACCAGGGUGAUGUGAGUGAAGUGACAUGAAGGCAACAUUAUCCGGUGACCCUCUGUUACUCACCGUCAUCAUCUCCGGUCUACCACGACACCGAUUACAAAGGGGUUUUCUUCUUUCGCCGUUAGGUAUCUUUUGAUCAUGCUUCGCGAUGCACCUUUGGAGGUUUGGGCGAUGACAAAAACUCCAAUAAUGCAUAUGUUCGUGCAACAAUGUGGUAACGCCCUAUCGGUUGGUCAGCUGUCAUGAGGACAUUGGUUGUCUUACCCAGUCCAAGCAUGAGGACCCUGGUGGUGAAGGGUUCUACACAGGAAGCAUCAGUUUUCAACACUGUAUUGUAAGUUUGUGGUUAGCAAUGAUGAAAUGAUGAAUAAUAGUUGUUGAUUUAAGGCAACAUAGGCUUGUUUCUCGCGAAUCAACGAGUAGUUUGAUCGUUUCUAUUCACAAAAAAAAAAGAAAACAUAAAAUCAUAUUCUUAACAAUAUAAAAAAAUAUAAAAUUUAUUAUGUUUUGUAAAAGCAAACCUUUGCUGGAGCAUUUAUAAAGAUCACCAAGUUAACCAUUAAUGGUAUACCCAUCAAUAAAAUUUUGGAGCCGCACCUGUUCUUGUGGCUUUUCGUACUACAUCUAUCUGGUUUGUAUCCCACCACUCGUCCGCCAUCAUCAUAAUAGAUCAGGUAUGUAAUAAUAUUAAGCUUUUGCAAAAUUUACAUUUUCUAUGUGAAAAAACUUUAUACCAAGAGUAAUGAGUGAUUCUUGACUUGUAAGAUGCUUUCAUGAUUUGUGUGUCUGAAUCUUGACCGACAUAGGUUUUCAUGUUUUCAGCUUGCACCAGGUGGCACUGUUGUAGGGACAACUUGCAGCAGUGGCUGAUGAAACAAGGUAAUUGGUACAGCAACUUAGAAGAGGUUCAACGGUCCUAAGCAAUCAUCGACCAUGCUUGAUUGUAGGAGCACCCCUUAUAUCAUGACUCAUAGUCGAUUUUUGUCUCUUCCCCUCAUCGUUCGAUACCCGCACACCACACCAAAUGCCACACAACGGAAACUGUCAAGGCAUCACCAACAAGUUCCACAUCUGCGGAUCUGAUGCUUUUUUCCCUUCAUGAUUCAGGGGGACAUCAUCAGUGGUGCUUGCAGGGCUUAUUUCUGCACUAAAAUUAGUUGGCGAAUCUUUGGCAAAACACAAUUUUUAUUCAUUGGAGCUGCAGAGAGGCAUUGCUGAACUCACAGCUCUUGGAAGGCCCACUUUUUGGUAAAUCUGAUCACAAGUGCUAUUAUGGUCCUAUGGCGUUUACUUGCUGGUAUAGUGGCCAGGGAAUGAUUACUCUGAUCGAAGGAGAUUCGCGACAAAGCCAUAACAUUAAGCGCGGGGAACUCUUCUAUGUAUCGGUGUGAAUCACCGCGUAUCUAAUCAACAUCGACAACAACGGACGCCUUGUUUUGGCGAAGAUUCUACAUUCGGUCUCCGUCCCCGGUGAAUUGCAGCUCUUUAGCAUAGGAGGUGGUAAUGCAGAGUCAUCAUUCUACAACGCGUUCAGUAUCGAAGUUCUUGAAGUUGCAUUUGGUGUUGAUCGCGAAUCGGCUCAUAAAAUGGUUGGGCAGCAGAAUACUGAGGAGCAAAUUAGAUCGUUGUCCGGAGAAGAUAAAAGUAGCCGUUGGCCUUUUGGCGACCGAAAAGGAAAGGGAAGGGGCACACAUAUCUACAAGAACGAACCAUCUGUGUGGAAUAUACCUCAUUGUUGGGCGACUGGUUACUUUUAGAUAUGAAAAUUAUUGGUUUUUGCACUUCUUUUAGAAAUAGAACAAUAAGGUAAUCUAUGUUACGGGUAUUGUAAAUGGUAAGAGUUACUGAUAUGUUUAUU
Molecule: long non-coding RNA, 2014 nt
Organism: Helianthus annuus (common sunflower)
Lineage: Eukaryota; Viridiplantae; Streptophyta; Magnoliopsida; Asterales; Asteraceae
Exons: 9
Source: RefSeq, a predicted model, not a curated record